GGAAACGCCGAGACGAUGUGCCCGGGGUACUGCGCGUGGCCAUUUCACCAGCCCAUUUACGGCCCACAAGGGCCGCCGUUAGUUUCCCCUAACGGUGACGUUGGAGUCGACGGGAUGAUUAUAAACCUGGCUACGCUGCUAGCUAACACCGUCACGAAUCCGUUUAAGAACGGGUAUUACCAGGGCCCACCAACUGCUCCACUUGAAGCUGUCUCCGCUUGUACCGGCAUGUUCGGGUCUGGUUCUUACCCGGGUUACGCGGGUCUAGUGCUGGUUGACAAAACUACCGGGUCUAGCUACAACGCUCGUGGACUCGCCGGGAGGAAAUAUCUCUUGCCGGCGAUGUGGGAUCCACAGACCUCGACUUGCAAGACUCUGGUUUGAUCCAAGGGAUGUGAGUAUGACACGUGUCAUGUUCUGGAAGGAAUGAGGAGAUCUAGAUGACAUCUAUAGUCAAAACAAGUUGUAACUCGCGCUUGUAUAAUAUAUAUGCUUUCGGGUUUGGACUGUGGAUAAGAGUCUUUGCUUUUGUCGUUUUGUUAUGACGUGUAAAUUAUGUUUCUUGAAUGUGAAGAUAUAUGAAUAGUAUAAAAUAAAAUGAUUGUGUUUCUGUUGACAAAAAAAAUGAUUUUGUUUCUACUGCUUUUUAUAAAAGUUAAUGCACUUAUUAAAGAUAAUGAACUAUAAUGAUUGAGGCUUAUAAUACAAAUUUUAUACAUUUAAAGGAAUCUAGCUUUUAUAUUAGUGGGUAGUAUAAGAUAAUCAUAGUUUUAUUGUUUAUAUUAAAUUCGAUGAUAAAAGUAGAUAACACUACAAAGAAAGAUGAGUAUAAAAUAUAAGUUGCUCUCGGUGAUGUUGGGGCCAAAGAGACCAAAUCGAUUGCUUAAUAAAAUACUCGUUUCUUCCUACUUUUUUUUUCAUGUCAGCCAUAGUGUGCUUAAAAUACUUCCUCGUAAUUGUGUUCCCUCAUUAUUUGUAUGACUAUGAUUAAAACUAAGUUAACAAAGAUAAGGUCUGUAAUAACACCAGAAUUCAUUGUGUCAGAGGUUCUGUGGAACAAAAUUAUUUAUAUUAUAUGUAGUUUUAGGAUACGGAGAAAUGAGAAGUUUUUAAAAAUGAUAUAAGAACAUAAUUAUAUGAUGACAAAAAAAAAGAACAUAAUUAUAUAUGUUAUAAAGGAAAAAGAAAUUAUCAGAAAAAAAGAGGGAAGGAAAUGAUCAGAAAACGAGGAAAACAUUGUUUAGGAUGCUAAACCUCAAACACGAUGGUCAGUGGGUUGAGGAGUAAAACCUCUUAUAUCGGCUUAAACAGUUUCCGAUUAGGUUAGUAAUUUAGUAAUUUGGUAUUUCCUGACCAUGGUCAGUGGGUUCGGUGAAGUUUUUUUUUUAGAUAAAAGGGUUUGGUGAAGUCCUCCAUUACUUCCGUUCUGUAUGCCAAAAGACAACUUUGUAACUUUUAAUAUUAAAGCAUCUCCAAUAGCAGUCUUAAAAUAAAAUUUUAUGUAUUCCAAAAGAAACUUCAAAACCUCAAAUUAUAAGGUUUGUACAGUGAAACCUUAUAUUUGAGAUUUUACUGUACAAAACCUUAUAUUUAAAGUUCCAUAUUUUUUUAGUCCCUGUACUUAUAUGUUUUUUAAAAAGUUUUUAUAAUUUUCUUGUUUAUCAUUUUAGUCCAUACAGUUUUAUAUAUUUAUAUAUUUAUAUAUGUUUUUAUAAAUUUAACUUUUUAAAAAUAAAUAUAUAAAUGUUUAAAUAAAAAACAAAGCAUAAUCUUUUAAUAAUAUUAUGCAAGACAAUAUUACAUCAACAAGUUGAUACAAAAUACAACAAGGUAAAAAUGCAUAAAAUAAAAUUACAUAAGCAAAAUAAAUAUUACAAUUAUACUAAUAAUCCGGUAAACUUGAUCCCGAACCUCCAAUAUCACUAAAAUAUUGGCCAUAAAAGGUUGGUGCAUUCGAAGGUUGUUGUUGUUCUUGAGUUCUUUUCUUUAUAAUUCUUUCUUGCUCAGAUCAGAUAAACUCACGAGUAGUAUGAUCACUGAUAGAUUCUAGGUUUGUUAACAACAUUUUAUUCUCUUCAUGCAUUUCCUUAAGGGCUAGUUUUUUUGUUUGGUGUUGCAUACGUAAAUGAACAAUUUCAUAAUUCUUAUCCCUAGCUGAUGCACUUUCUUUUAAGAAAUCAAGGACUUGUUCAUUUGAUGAAACCAAAGUGUCAACUGAAGAAUUUUUACCUUCCGAGAUUUUCCUUUUGAGUUUUGCUUUCUUUGAUCUAAUUGGUCGUUGUGAUGAAUUUGACCCACCAUCAUCACUACUUAAGUUGAUUGAAAAUGAAAACAAUCCCGGAGAUUGUGAUGUUGGAGAACCGACGACGUUGCUCUGAAGAGUGUUUGGAAUACCAAAAUUGACGUUGUCGGUAAACUUUGGGAUAUCCUUCAGUUUUGGAUCUUGUACCAAUAAUUUCUUGCAUUUUUCCAUCUGCAUGCAAGAUAAAAUCAUUAAAAAUAAAUAAAUAUCAUAUAUAAAUGAAGCUAAAAAUAAAUAUACAUACAAUGUCAAAUUCGGAUGCACCACUUGGAUUCAAAUUCUCCACUUGACUUAUGCAGCUCUUCAAAUUUCUAACAGCAUAAAGAAUAGUAUUCAUUCUACCUUGUAAUGAUUGGUUGCUUCUAAUUUCCCAACACUCAUCUUUUUUUCAUUGUAACUCUUUUUGAUUUUUCCCACAGCUUUCCUAGAGAUUGAUUAUUACUACCAAUCUUGUGAUAUUUCUAGAUACACUCGACAUAAUAACUCAUGAUAUAAUGACAACAUGCAUUAUAAUGCAUAACAUGAUAAUUGAAGACGAGCGGGACAUCAACGCACCGAUUAGAGAUGCAAGAGCGGUGCCAGUGCUACAAGUUGAAACAGCAACUAACGAAAAUACUCGGUUUCAAUAAUUUUUGGCUCGUAAUCUACAAAUAAAAAAAAAUAAAAAAGCUCAUUUAUCGCUUCAAAAUGCACUAAUUGAUCUUAUAUGAGAGCAUUAUGGGAAUAAUAAUAAUGAAUAAUGUAUUUUUAAGUCUUUUAUUUAUAUGUAAUAUAUGCUAUUAGAAUGUAAUAGUUUAUUAAUAGCUAUUGUUUAUAGUAUUUUUGAUGUAUGAUUUUAGCUGUUAUAAAAGUUUUAUGCUUUUAUUUGAUUCUUGUCUAAAGUAAGGACUAUAAUGUAAAAAUAUAAACAAAUUGAGGUUUUUUUUAAGGUUUACCAUUGGAGAAGGUCACCCCAAACCUCAAAUAUAAGGUUUAGCAAACCUCAAAUAUAAGGUUGUUCUUGCAGAUGUUCUAAUAAUAUAUAUUUUUUGGAUCAAGAACACAUUCAUCAAAUAUUAACAAGAUUUUUUUUGGGCAAUUCUCCUUAAUAGCCCCUUUUAACUUUGUAUCUCUAAAUCAGACUCUCAAACUGAAAAUAACCUAAAUAACCUUCAUCAAGUGUCAAAAGUCUACAAUGCCCUUCUUUUAAUUGUAAUUAGAUGAAACAAUUAAUAAAUUGCAACCACGAAAAAUAAACGACGACGAAGGACUCUUGAAGUCAUCUUCGACGACGAGCUCCGGCGACAAAGGAAACAAUGAUUCUCAUUGUCGACGAAGCAAGCUGUGUGAAUCUGUAUGUUUCAAUAGUUUUACGAAGAAAAUCUUAAUUUUAUUUAGGGUUUUCAAAUUGAGAUUUGAAUUUUUGUGUUCUUCUUCUUCCGAUGAUACGUUUGAACUUGUUUUGUUGUUUGAAUAGAACAUGGAUAGCAGAAUCGGAGUUACAAAUAAUGAAUUUCAGGAAACUUCGUUUACAUAUAACUUUGGCUUAAAGAGGAAGAUGAUCUCGUGACUUUACUUUUUGGUAAGCAAUUUUUGAAUCUUUGAUAUUCCUAUUUAUUCUUUGAUAAAAGAACCCUGUGUAAAGAGAGCUUUGAUUGUUGGAGUUGGUCUCUUUGUUGUGUUUCCCUUUUUCACCUGAAUGGUAAUGUAACAGUGUCAAAGUGCGAUUGCAGGUCUCUGAUGCUUUGUAGAACUCAAUUUUGAAACCGCCUCCUUCAUACGUACAGCCAGCCUUCUCUAGAAGACCGUAAGAUAUUAUGUUCCUGCUAAUAUUCGGCAUGUGUCUCACAUCAGUUAAAAUCACUUCAACACCAUCCACAUUAGUAACUCGAAUCUUUCCAAUUCCUUUAACUUCGCUCUGUGUGUUGUUCGCCAUAAAAACUUUCCACCUUCUAGUUCCUUGAAGUCAAAGAGAACAUUCCUUUGAGGAGUGAUAUGAAACGAGCAGCCAUAGUCUAGAACCCACUCCUACUUAGUGUCCUGAACACUUACAGUCAGUACAAGCGGCUGCUUUGGUUAAGAAGCUAUAUUCAUUAAGCUUGAAGACUCAUUCUUCCUUCCCUGAUUAUUCCAAUUCUGUGGGCAUUCUCUCUUCCAAUGACCAUCCUUUCCGCAAAUAAAACACCCUGUUUUGUUGGUAUUUCGGUUUGAUCUUGGUCUAGACUUUGAUCUUCCAUCCCGUGACUUUGAUCUGCUUUUUCCAUACUUUCCAUUUCCUUUAUUUCCCUUCUCCUUCUGUCUACGUUGAGAUUCCACAUACAAGCCUUUUAAGUUCGAUCUAGACUUUCCAAAGAGACCCCUUUGUUUUGUGUUGUUCAAAAUCUUUAAAAUUCAAAUUGUAGUGGGAUUCUAAGAUUUUCAGUUAUAAUAUUACUAGAUACUAGUUGGUAUAAAUAAAUUACACAUUUAUAUUUUAUCGCAUAAAAACAUGAAAACACCUAUGUAUAUAUAAAAUUAUAUACCAAAAUAUAUAGAGAUUUAUCUCAUUUUUUUUAAACAUGUAUAAUGUAAAAUAUUGUUUUUGGAUAACACAAUGUAAACUAGUUUUAUAAAAUGAUAAUUAUCAAAUCAAUAAAAUUCAUUCUUAAUUUGUGGUUAUGUAUAUAUUAAAAACCGAAUUAUUCAUUAUAUUUAAUAAAGACCUUAUAGCACAAUAUAAAUUAUUUUUUGAUAAUGAUAAUUAUCAAAUUAAUGAAAUUCAUUUUUAAUUUGUGGUUAAUCAUAUAUUAACAAAUCAAAUUAUUCAUUAAGAGUAAUAAAAAUUUUAGCCGCUCUAACUUUUAAUGUUAGAACUAAUAAUCAUUUUGCAAAUAAUAAUAUAGAAUAAAAUUAUUAAAUAGAAGGUUUAAUUAUUAUAAAUAGCUAUAAACUUGUAUCAUGGUAAAAUAAAAAUUGUCUUCUUAUUUGAUUGCAGGUUAUCCAAGUAGGGAAGGGCUUGGAUUUGAUCCAUCCUAACACAAACUUAAUCUGCUAAUUCUGUAAUAAUAAUAAUACAACAAGAUUUGUUCUACUAAUCUUUUUACAGAGUGAAAUUUUUUAUUCUUUUGAAUCAAACAAAAGACACCAGAAGAAUUAGCCUUAUCUCCAAAGACUCUAAUUACUCAGUUCCGUUCGUUCACCAUUUGUUUUGACAAUAUACAGAAGUAAGAUCAUCUCUCUGGCUCGAUUUUCAUCUGAACCGUAGAUUCAGAACCUGACACAUACAACCAAAUAACAAUGUAAUUAGAUAUCACACAACAAAACUUCACACUGUUUAUAUUCUGCAAUGUAAAUUUCUGUUUAUAUUUUUGCUUACAGUUGAUGCUCUGUUGCGGACAAUCACUGAAACCCAUAUGAACAAUACUCUGCAGAUCGUUUUCCCAGAAAGCUGGCGCCUAAGAAAACACACAAAAGUAAGCUUUUCAGAGGAAGCAAUACAGUGAGACUGUAUACAAUAUAAGCGGACAUUAAAGUACCUCAGCUUGAACAAAUCCUUCACUAAGAAUGUUCUUGCCAACAGCUAAAUACUCUGAAGGAAAUCUUGACUCUGAACAAGAUAAUGAUUCUCCCAGCUGCAACAUCUAAGACAUACAUAAUCUACUCGUCAGAUACAAUUACAGAACAUUCUCCCAGUCUUUGUUAUGAAUGAAUCAACAUAAAGCAGAAGAAUACCUCUGCAGAUAACAUAGCAUUAGCAGCAUUGAACUCCGUUCUUGGAUUUAUAGUUGCUAACUUCAUAGACAAGAACUGGAGAAGUAAACAAGAGAUUCAGAUUCAGUUAUAAUAAACACACAGCUCCAUGUUUAAGAAACAUAUAAAGCGACAGUAUACCUGGACUUGUCUUUGCAAUGACUGCACAUAAUUGAUAAUCUCAUCAAGCAUGACAGCUUUUCCAGUAAUCCGGUUGCAACCAGGGACCAAAUCUUGAAGCAACUUCAUUCUCGCACUNNNNNNNNNNNNNNNNNNNNNNNNNNNNNNNNNNNNNNNNNNNNNNNNNNNNNNNNNNNNNNNNNNNNNNNNNNNNNNNNNNNNNNNNNNNNNNNNNNNNNNNNNNNNNNNNNNNNNNNNNNNNNNNNNNGAAGCCCUAGAAAAUCGGCGACCGACUCGAACAUGACACCACACGUUGAACAGAUAGCAUGGUAGGGACACGCGCCCACUAACGAAGCCGCCACCUAACUUCAGCCAGAAAGUCAUCGACGGAGCUCCAACCGGCUGUUCCACCGGAAACACACCGGAAACAGGAACCCGAAGUUAGAGAUCUAUCGAAGACUAUGGAUAAUUGCUUUCCACCACCGACAUGGUCUACGCCGGAGGAUCAAAGAGAUACACCGGAAGCCAAGAGGCUGAGGAAGCCCGCUAAAGACAGUAGAACACAGUCGAUAACCAUACAACUUGGCUCUUCGCUUUAUAGACGAUUCAUUUGCAUGCGUUCCAAAACAGGAAACAGAGAUGAAUCGAAGAAGCUUGAAGGAAAGAUCAGACGAAAGCCAGAAUAAACCAGAGAGAAGCCGCACGACGCCACCGGAGAAGACACCGUCAUCAACGUCGCCGGAACCAGAAGCCAAUGAAUCAUUUAGAAGAAAGUGAUUCAUUGGAGCCAAAAGCCGACGGUUUCGUCAGAGAAGAACGACCACCGUCGAACCCAAAAGCCGGCCAGUCGAUGUUGAAGAAACCAUCGCUGCCGGAACCGACUCCUAUAGGAGCCAACACGCCGGAAACCACCGGCGAUCUAUAUCCUCUCUCUCUGAAAGAUUUUUUAGAGAGAAGAGAGAGAGUUUUUUAUGAUUGUGUUUUUUCCAAUGUGUGAUUUUCAUUCACUCCUCGUUAGCCUUUUAUGAAAAUAUUGUAAUACUGUGAAAUUAUAUCUAAAACUCGUGACACCGGUUUAUAGGUUAGAUGUAUUUUAUCUUAUCCAGCGACAUAAACAGGAUAUCUUGACAUGAUGAGAUAAGAAAAUGUACUGGUCCUUGUAAAUUUGGACCGCAUGUCGGCCAAAAAAUCGUUUUGACUGAUAUAUUAAGCUCAACUUUUUUUGUACCCGCAAAUUUAAAACGCUCAAAUAUUUGUUAUAACGCCAUCAAAACAGUGAUCAUUAUUCAAAAUUUAACUUAUAUGUGAUAUUUCCACUCGACUCAAUUAAAAUAGAAAUAAGCCAAGCUAAAAAAACAAAUGGUGACAUCAGAAGAAGGAAAAUCAAAAUGAUGAAUAAAGGGUGGUCAUGAUCCUAUGAGUCCCAUUAAUAUUUAUAUAUAUACACAGUGGUCAUGCACUCUUGAUAUUUGUUGCUUCUACAGUUUACUAUUUAUUUUUCACAUACAGCAAGAGUAAAAUUUUAAACGUGUCAAAAUAAAUCGUUGAGGUAGCACUCAGCAGAUCUAAUAAGUGGAUUGCCUCGAAUCAUAUUAACCCUGGGUUACUCUCGAGUACUGACAAGUAGAUAACGCCAAAGAAAAUGAUGUAAAAGGCCAAUAAUGGACUGUAAUAAAGGUGUGGUUCAGUACUCAUCGUGAAGGCGUAUCUAAUAUCUUCUUUCCCCAGCUACACGACUAAUUUACUCAAGUGCACCGUAUUUUUCUUGUACACGUAAACUAUUUAUAAGUCUACAUAGUUGUACAAUUGUAUAGUAUUUUAUACACUGUGCGUAGGUAAAUACGUAUGGCUCGUGUGGUGGUCCCCGCAGAAACCAAAGGUAGAGCCGUGUGGAGGGACCUCCCCCAAGUAAAACGAUAACCACACGGUAUCAGAUCCCUUGUCACUUUCUUGAAUUUAGUGGCGCCCUUUAACUCUAAAGGAACCUCCCCUAAAUAGAUACAGAACUAAUAUUCAUUUGUUUUUAAUAAAAAGUUGAUUUAAUCUUUUUGAUUGUGUUUCAAAAAAAAAAAAAAAAUCUUUUUGAUUAUUGACUAGGCUUCGAAACGCGUAAUGACUUCUUCUUCUAGUACAGCCAAACAAGUAUGGUGUCUAUGUAUUUGCUGCGUAUAAGAUCGUAAAGCCCGUCUUUGGGUCAAGUCGAUGGAACCUAUACUUUAAGUGAAUAUUUUCUUUAAACUUUUCUUGACAGAAUUUCAGAUUUGAAGAUUCAAAUUAUCAUGUUUAUAAUAUUUCCAUUUUAACGAAGCGGCCAUUCUUUCUUUAGCCUUUGAAAUUUCGGAACCAAUACAAACCAUGACCCAUGAUGUCAUUAUACUUUUACCAAAAAAAUGAUGUCAUUAUACUGAAAAAUAGCUAAAGCUUUUAAUAGUGAUAUUAAACUUAGUUGUUGGCUGCUGAUCCAUAAGAAAUUGUUGGCAUAUGAUUUGCUUAAAGAAAAACCAGUGAAUAAUAUACGAAUUCGUUCAUUUUAAUUCAUCUGUACUUAACACUAUUAUAUAGAAAGGUAAGGGUGGACGAGACUGAUGCUGGUUAAAUAACAUAAUGAUAUAUAAUUUUUUUGCAAUUUUUUAAAUAGAAGUUUUAGUUUUUAUCCAUUUCUUAUACUUUUUUUUCGUCAACACAAUUCUAUUGAUUUAUACAAGGAGUUCAUGAUCUUUUUAUUUUUGAACAGAGGAGGAGUUCAUGAUCUAAACUCUGGUUUUUGACUAUAUACAAGUUGAAUGAAUGUAUGUAUCAAAAUCAGAUAAGCUACAUCCACUUUUUAAAACAACUAGUUGAUGUAAUUUAUAGCCACCUUUUAAUACUAGUUUUUGAGCUAGCUGUAUUUUAUACUAAGUUCCUUGCAUUUGAAUUUAGAAUGGGCUUUUGCAUUAAAACUAUACUCGAUUUGUAUUCAUAAACUUCAAAAAAAGUUUUAAUAGCUAUGACUUUUGAGUCUACGACAGCUCGAACAUAGAAAAUUAAAAAACUAUGAAAUGUACCUAUCCAAUUUAAUUUAUUUUUCAAGAUUCAUAUAUGUAUAUAUUUACAUAUUUAAUUGUAUUACAUUGUCUAUACUCAUUAAAACUUUACGCAAAUGCGCAUGGACGAGCAUGUCUCUCCGCAUGGCGUAAGAUUUAAGUUUAAAACUUCUAUAAAAUAACAGACUAAUAACAAAAUUAUCGGCUAAGCAUCACUUAAAUUUAAUACACGUUAUGGAGACUACCACGUCACAUUUGAGCACCUUCCAGGCUGUCAAAGACUCCUAUCACCCAUUCAAAUCAUUCCACGUGGCACUUUCGGACAGUGACACCUAUGCUACAACAGCUGUCUCACUCGUCUACAUUGGUAUAAAUACCUCUUGUAUCACACUUCAUUCUAUAAACCUCAAACAAAACCUCUGUUCUAACUCUUACAAUAACCAACUUCUCAAAUGGCUUAUAAUUACCGUUUUGCCUUUUUCCUCACCGUCCUCACCGCCCUCGCCGGGAUCUCCUCCGCCGCGUUGGUCAAGGAGCAGCCGCUUGUUCUGAAAUACCACAACGGCGCACUCUUGAAAGGAAACAUCAACGUCAAUCUCGUUUGGUAUGGGAAGUUCACACCCACCCAACGGUCAGUGAUCGUCGACUUCAUCCGCUCGCUCAACUCCAAAGAAGCCACAACCUCCGCCGCUCCCUCCGUCGCGUCGUGGUGGAAGACGACGGAGAAAUACAAAGGCGGAGCUUCGACUCUCGUCGUCGGGAAACAGCUCCUCCUCGAGAACUACCCCCUCGGAAAAUCUCUCAAGAAUCCCAACCUCCGUGCUUUAUCCACCAAACUUAACGGCGGUCUCCGUUCUAUAACCGUCGUUUUAACGGCGAAAGACGUUUCCGUCGAGGGCUUCUGUAUGAACCGGUGCGGGUCCCACGGAUCGUCCGUCUCGACUUCGCGCCGCGCGGCUAACGGCGAGGCUUACGUCUGGGUCGGAAACGCCGAGACGAUGUGCCCGGGGUACUGCGCGUGGCCAUUUCACCAGCCCAUUUACGGCCCACAAGGGCCGCCGUUAGUUUCCCCUAACGGUGACGUUGGAGUCGACGGGAUGAUUAUAAACCUGGCUACGCUGCUAGCUAACACCGUCACGAAUCCGUUUAAGAACGGGUAUUACCAGGGCCCACCAACUGCUCCACUUGAAGCUGUCUCCGCUUGUACCGGCAUGUUCGGGUCUGGUUCUUACCCGGGUUACGCGGGUCUAGUGCUGGUUGACAAAACUACCGGGUCUAGCUACAACGCUCGUGGACUCGCCGGGAGGAAAUAUCUCUUGCCGGCGAUGUGGGAUCCACAGACCUCGACUUGCAAGACUCUGGUUUGAUCCAAGGGAUGUGAGUAUGACACGUGUCAUGUUCUGGAAGGAAUGAGGAGAUCUAGAUGACAUCUAUAGUCAAAACAAGUUGUAACUCGCGCUUGUAUAAUAUAUAUGCUUUCGGGUUUGGACUGUGGAUAAGAGUCUUUGCUUUUGUCGUUUUGUUAUGACGUGUAAAUUAUGUUUCUUGAAUGUGAAGAUAUAUGAAUAGUAUAAAAUAAAAUGAUUGUGUUUCUGUUGACAAAAAAAAUGAUUUUGUUUCUACUGCUUUUUAUAAAAGUUAAUGCACUUAUUAAAGAUAAUGAACUAUAAUGAUUGAGGCUUAUAAUACAAAUUUUAUACAUUUAAAGGAAUCUAGCUUUUAUAUUAGUGGGUAGUAUAAGAUAAUCAUAGUUUUAUUGUUUAUAUUAAAUUCGAUGAUAAAAGUAGAUAACACUACAAAGAAAGAUGAGUAUAAAAUAUAAGUUGCUCUCGGUGAUGUUGGGGCCAAAGAGACCAAAUCGAUUGCUUAAUAAAAUACUCGUUUCUUCCUACUUUUUUUUUCAUGUCAGCCAUAGUGUGCUUAAAAUACUUCCUCGUAAUUGUGUUCCCUCAUUAUUUGUAUGACUAUGAUUAAAACUAAGUUAACAAAGAUAAGGUCUGUAAUAACACCAGAAUUCAUUGUGUCAGAGGUUCUGUGGAACAAAAUUAUUUAUAUUAUAUGAUGUAGUUUAGGAUACGGAGAAAUUGAGAAGCUUUUAAAAAUGAUAUAAGAACAUAAUUAUAUAUGUUAUAAAGGAAAAAGAAAUUAUCAUCUCGACUUCGCGCCGCGCGGCUAACGGCGAGGCUUACGUCUGGGUCGGAAACGCCGAGACGAUGUGCCCGGGGUACUGCGCGUGGCCAUUUCACCAGCCCAUUUACGGCCCACAAGGGCCGCCGUUAGUUUCCCCUAACGGUGACGUUGGAGUCGACGGGAUGAUUAUAAACCUGGCUACGCUGCUAGCUAACACCGUCACGAAUCCGUUUAAGAACGGGUAUUACCAGGGCCCACCAACUGCUCCACUUGAAGCUGUCUCCGCUUGUACCGGCAUGUUCGGGUCUGGUUCUUACCCGGGUUACGCGGGUCUAGUGCUGGUUGACAAAACUACCGGGUCUAGCUACAACGCUCGUGGACUCGCCGGGAGGAAAUAUCUCUUGCCGGCGAUGUGGGAUCCACAGACCUCGACUUGCAAGACUCUGGUUUGAUCCAAGGGAUGUGAGUAUGACACGUGUCAUGUUCUGGAAGGAAUGAGGAGAUCUAGAUGACAUCUAUAGUCAAAACAAGUUGUAACUCGCGCUUGUAUAAUAUAUAUGCUUUCGGGUUUGGAC
RNAcentral lists this long non-coding RNA (11858 nucleotides) under Brassica napus (rape). RNAcentral's name for it is "long non-coding RNA (BNAP_LNC001889)". The record is from RNAcentral. Lineage: Eukaryota; Viridiplantae; Streptophyta; Magnoliopsida; Brassicales; Brassicaceae.